This 968-nucleotide ribosomal RNA is filed under the name Dicrocoelium chinensis. RNAcentral's name for it is "large subunit ribosomal RNA". The stretch from base 643 to 925 matches the Rfam family "Bacterial large subunit ribosomal RNA", at positions 2074 to 2646 of the family's 2925-position model. Lineage: Eukaryota; Metazoa; Platyhelminthes; Trematoda; Plagiorchiida; Dicrocoeliidae. The record is from RNAcentral.
GUCUUGAGGCUGUGUUAGUGUGUGUGUUGUUAGGUGUGUUACCUUUUGCAUCAUGAUUUCCGGGUAAUGGCUACAAAGUGUAGUGUUCCGAAAGGUAGUGAUUUAUUUUGUCCUUGCUUGGAGCUUAAGUGUGAUUGAGUUGGUCUUUUGAGAGGGUAAAAUGGGGGUGAUAUGCUAUUUCGCACUAUUUUAUAACUGGUUGGCGCUGAAGUUUUAAAGUUACACUAUUUGCUUUGAGGUGAUUGGUGUUGUCAGAGACUCUUUAUUUUUGGUUGUAGUGGGGUUAGUGGUGCCCUGGUUUAGUUUUUGUGUUAUAACAUUUUGAGGUUUUAUUUUGUCUUGGGUUGAUUCGGUGCUGUUGUAACUGUUUGGUGAGUUAUCGGGGAAUUAGUAGUUUAAGGAUUGCUGUAUUUUUGUCUCGAUUUUUAUUCGUCUGUUUAUUAAAAACAUUUCUAUCAUUAUGUGUUGAUAGUAGUACCUGCCCAAUGGCUAGGAGUUAAAUGGCCGCAGGAAUGAACUGUGUUAAGGUAGCAUAAUUAGUUGCCUUUUAAUUGAAGGAUUGUUUGAAUGGUUUGACGAGAUGGAAUUGAAAUGUGCAGUGUGUGGUGAUUUAGAGUGUCUGUGCAGAUCCAGAUAGUGGUUAGUAAGACGGAAAGACCCCGAGAGCUUUAUAUUGAUAUUUGCUUGGGGUAAGAGUAUGUGUUUUACGUAUUUUUCGAUCCCUUGUUGGGAUAGAGGGUGAAGUUACCUCGGGGAUAACUAGGCAAUAAAUGAUGUGAGAUCUAAUCUAUUUGUUUGAUUGCCAUCUCGAUGUUGGCUUAGGGUAGGUGCGGCGGUGUAGCAGCUGUUGCAUUAGGUCUGUUCGACCUGUGUUUCCUAUGAGUUGAGUUAAGACCGGCGUGAGCCAGGUCGGAUCUUAUCUACUGUGGUUGUGGGCUAGUACGAAAGGAUUGUUCAUGAUUUAUGUU